CCUACGGGGGACAGCAGUGAGGAAUAUUGGUCAAUGGACGAGAGUCUGAACCAGCCAAGUAGCGUGAAGGAUGACUGCCCUAUGGGUUGUAAACUUCUUUUAUAUGGGAAUAAAACGUUCCAAGUGUGGGAUUUUGUAUGUACCAUAUGAAUAAGGAUCGGCUAACUCCGUGCCAGCAGCCGCGGUAAUACGGAGGAUCCGAGCUUUAUCCGGAUUUAUUGGGUUUAAAGGGACCGUAGGUGGAUUGUUAAGUCAGUUGUGAAAGUUUGCGGCUCAACCGUAAAAUUGCAGUUGAAACUGGCAGUCUUGAGUACAGUAGAGGUGGGCGGAAUUCGUGGUGUAGCGGUGAAAUGCUUAGAUAUCACGAAGAACUCCGAUUGCGAAGGCAGUUCACUGGACUGCAACUGACACUGAGGCUCGAAAGUGUGGGUAUCAAACAGGAUUAGAUACCCCAGUAGUC
RNAcentral lists this ribosomal RNA (460 nucleotides) under uncultured bacterium. RNAcentral's name for it is "partial 16S ribosomal RNA". It matches the Rfam family "Bacterial small subunit ribosomal RNA", at positions 338 to 795 of the family's 1533-position model. The record is from RNAcentral.